GAUGAAGAACGUAGCGAAAUGCGAUAAGUAAUGUGAAUUGCAGAAUUCAGCGAAUCAUCGAAUCUUUGAACGCACAUUGCGCCCGCCAGUAUUCUGGCGGGCAUGCCUGUUCGAGCGUCAUUACAACCCUCAGGCCCCCGGGCCUGGCGUUGGGGAUCGGCGGAGCCCCCCGUGGGCACACGCCGUCCCCCAAAUGCAGUGGCGGUCCCGCCGCAGCUUCCAUCGCGUAGUAGCUAACACCUCGCGACUGGAGAGCGGCGCGGCCACGCCGUAAAACACCCAACUCUUCUGAAGUUGACCUCGAAUCAGGUAGGAAUACCCGCUGAACUUAAGCAUAUCAAUAAGCGGAGGA
Molecule: unclassified non-coding RNA, 352 nt
Filed under: soil metagenome
Description: partial contains 5.8S ribosomal RNA, internal transcribed spacer 2, and large subunit ribosomal RNA
Rfam family: 5.8S ribosomal RNA (bases 1-120)
Source: RNAcentral